UAGCAGGGAGUUAAGCACAUGUUCGAAUUAAUCUCUCGCCUUUUACUAGAGAUCACCGUGUACUUGUCUCAAUACCUGCGUUCUAAUUUCUUUCUCCCCCAUUUACUUGGGUCA
RNAcentral lists this small nuclear RNA (114 nucleotides) under Kwoniella heveanensis BCC8398. Its description in RNAcentral is "U5 spliceosomal RNA". It matches the Rfam family "U5 spliceosomal RNA". Rfam says of the family: U5 RNA is a component of both types of known spliceosome. The precise function of this molecule is unknown, though it is known that the 5' loop is required for splice site selection and p220 binding, and that both the 3' stem-loop and the Sm site are important for Sm protein binding and cap methylation. The record is from Rfam by way of RNAcentral. Lineage: Eukaryota; Fungi; Basidiomycota; Tremellomycetes; Tremellales; Cryptococcaceae.